RNAcentral lists this ribosomal RNA (497 nucleotides) under uncultured bacterium. RNAcentral describes it as "partial 16S ribosomal RNA". It matches the Rfam family "Bacterial small subunit ribosomal RNA", at positions 28 to 507 of the family's 1533-position model. The record is from RNAcentral.
GAUGAACGCUGGCGGCGUGCCUAAUACAUGCAAGUCGAGCGAACGGACGAGAAGCUUGCUUCUCUGAUGUUAGCGGCGGACGGGUGAGUAACACGUGUAUAACCUACCUAUAAGACUGGGAUAACUUCGGGACACCGGAGCUAACACCGGAUGAUAUUUUGAACCGCAUGGUUCAAAAGUGAAAGACGGUCUUUCUGUCACUUAUAGAUGGAUCCGCGCUGCAUUAGCUAGUUGGUAAGGUAACGGCGUACCAAGGCAACGAUGCAUAGCCGACCUGAGAGGGUGAUCGGCCACCCGGGAGGUGAGACACGGUCCAGACGCCUACGGGAGGCAGCAGUAGGGAAUCUUCCGCAAUGGGCGAAAGCCUGACGGAGCAACGCCGCGUGAGUGAUGAAGGUCUUCGGAUCGUAAAACUCUGUUAUUAGGGAAGAACAGAUGUGUAAGUAACUGUGCACAUCUUGACGGUACCUAAUCAGAAAGCCACGGCUAACUACGUG